UGACGUCAAGUCAUCAUGGCCCUUAUGUCCAGGGCGACACACGUGCUACAAUGGCCGGCACAACGGGAAGCGAGUUCGCGAGGACGAGCGGAUCCCUUAAAGCCGGUCUCAGUUCGGAUUGAAGUCUGCAACUCGACUUCAUGAAGCUGGAAUCGCUAGUAAUCGCAGAUCAGCCAAGCUGCGGUGAAUACGUUCCCGGGCCUU
Molecule: ribosomal RNA, 204 nt
Filed under: uncultured Synergistaceae bacterium
Lineage: Bacteria; Thermotogati; Synergistota; Synergistia; Synergistales; Synergistaceae
Description: partial 16S ribosomal RNA
Rfam family: Bacterial small subunit ribosomal RNA
Source: RNAcentral